Molecule: ribosomal RNA, 492 nt
Filed under: uncultured bacterium
Lineage: Bacteria
Description: partial 16S ribosomal RNA
Rfam family: Bacterial small subunit ribosomal RNA
Source: RNAcentral
AGUGAACGCUGGCGGUAGGCCUAACACAUACAAGUCGAACGGCAGCACAGUAAGAGCUUGCUCUUACGGGUGGCGAGUGGCGGACGGGUGAGGAAUACAUCGGAAUCUACUUUUUCGUGGGGGAUAACGUAGGGAAACUUACGCUAAUACCGCAUACGACCUACGGGUGAAAGCAGGGGAUCUUCGGACCUUGCGCGAUUGAAUGAGCCGAUGUCGGAUUAGCUAGUUGGCGGGGUAAAGGCCCACCAAGGCGACGAUCCGUAGCUGGUCUGAGAGGAUGAUCAGCCACACUGGAACUGAGACACGGUCCAGACUCCUACGGGAGGCAGCAGUGGGGAAUAUUGGACAAUGGGCGCAAGCCUGAUCCAGCCAUACCGCGUGGGUGAAGAAGGCCUUCGGGUUGUAAAGCCCCUUUGUUGGGAAAGAAAAGCAGCAGGUUAAUACCCCGCUGUUCUGACGGUACCCAAAGAAUAAGCACCGGCUAACUUCGUG